This 492-nucleotide ribosomal RNA is filed under the name uncultured bacterium. Its description in RNAcentral is "partial 16S ribosomal RNA". It matches the Rfam family "Bacterial small subunit ribosomal RNA", at positions 29 to 507 of the family's 1533-position model. The record is from RNAcentral.
AGUGAACGCUGGCGGUAGGCCUAACACAUGCAAGUCGAACGGCAGCACAGUAAGAGCUUGCUCUUACGGGUGGCGAGUGGCGGACGGGUGAGGAAUACAUCGGAAUCUACUUUUUCGUGGGGGAUAACGUAGGGAAACUUACGCUAAUACCGCAUACGACCUACGGGUGAAAGCAGGGGAUCUUCGGACCUUGCGCGAUUGAAUGAGCCGAUGUCGGAUUAGCUAGUUGGCGGGGUAAAGGCCCACCAAGGCGACGAUCCGUAGCUGGUCUGAGAGGAGGAUCAGCCACACUGGAACUGAGACACGGUCCAGACACCUACGGGAGGCAGCAGUGGGGAAUAUUGGACAAUGGGCGCAAGCCUGAUCCAGCCAUACCGCGUGGGUGAAGAAGGCCUUCGGGUUGUAAAGCCCUUUUGUUGGGAAAGAAAAGCAGCAGGUUAAUACCCCGCUGUUCUGACGGUACCCAAAGAAUAAGCACCGGCUAACUUCGUG